CCUACGGGUGGCAGCAGUGAGGAAUAUUGGUCAAUGGACGCAAGUCUGAACCAGCCAUGCCGCGUGCAGGAAGACGGCUCUAUGAGUUGUAAACUGCUUUUGUACGAGGGUAAACGCAGAUACGCGUAUCUGUCUGAAAGUAUCGUACGAAUAAGGAUCGGCUAACUCCGUGCCAGCAGCCGCGGUAAUACGGAGGAUUCAAGCGUUAUCCGGAUUUAUUGGGUUUAAAGGGUGCGUAGGCGGUCGGAUAAGUUAGAUGUGAAAUCCCGAGGCUCAACCUCGGAAUUGCCUCUGAUACUGGUAGGCUAGAGAGUAGUAGCGGUAGGCGGAAUGUAUGGUGUAGCGGUGAAAUGCUUAGAUAUCAUACAGAACACCGAUUGCGAAGGCAGCUUACCAAGCUACUACUGACGUUGAGGCACAAAAGCGUGGGUAGCAAACAGGAUUAGAUACCCGGGUAGUC
This 460-nucleotide ribosomal RNA is filed under the name uncultured bacterium. RNAcentral describes it as "partial 16S ribosomal RNA". It matches the Rfam family "Bacterial small subunit ribosomal RNA", at positions 338 to 795 of the family's 1533-position model. The record is from RNAcentral.